GUAUAGAUUGAGUGGCUUUAACUAGAAUGUGAUCCCAGUUUUAACAAAAUCUAUUCACUUGAAUAAAUAGUAUCUUAAAAAAAGAAAAUCAUGUAAUCUCCAGACUAUCAAUUCCUCAAUCAUGACAAUAUUAUGUUACAAAGAAUUGUGUGGGAGCUUUCUUACUUGCUACUGAAUAACACACUUGACUCUCUAGAAACCAGAGCCAAACAGAUUUCAGAGAUCUGGCAUGAGUUACUGGCUUAAUGUAGCCCGAGCAUCGAUAGCAUCAGCGGUCAUACUUUCUACCUCAUGUGUGAGGGGGUCCGCUACACAACCCCCAUUAACUCUAAUUGAAGGUGUACUGCUGAUUUCUCUUCUAAACAAUAAUUAUAUAAAUCUCCCUCUAAGUGGCAAUGUAUCUUACCUUUAGCACACUCAUCAUUUUAAAGGGUAGUAGACAUCAGAGAUAAUUUUUAAACAAGAAUGCAAUCCUAUUCAUCUUGAA
Molecule: long non-coding RNA, 487 nt
Filed under: Bos taurus (domestic cattle)
Lineage: Eukaryota; Metazoa; Chordata; Mammalia; Artiodactyla; Bovidae
Description: long non-coding RNA NONBTAT000124
Source: RNAcentral